UUGAACGCUGGCGGCAUGCCUAACACAUGCAAGUCGAACGAGGGUAGCAAUACUCUAGUGGCGGACGGGUGAGUAAUACGUAGGAAUUUGCCCUUAAGUGGGGGAUAACCCGGGGAAACCCGGACUAAUACCGCAUGAUCUUUUCGAAGCAAAGCUGGGGACCUUCGGGCCUGGCGCUUUUGGAGAAGCCUACGUCGGAUUAGCUAGUUGGUAGGGUAAUGGCCUACCAAGGCGACGAUCCGUAACUGGUCUGAGAGGAUGAUCAGUCACACCGGAACUGAGACACGGUCCGGACUCCUACGGGAGGCAGCAGUGGGGAAUAUUGGACAAUGGGCGAAAGCCUGAUCCAGCAAUGCCGCGUGUGUGAAGAAGGCCUUCGGGUUGUAAAGCACUUUAGGCUGGAAAGAAAAAACUUCGGUUAAUAGUCGAAGUCUUGACGGUACCAGCAGAAUAAGCACCGGCUAACUCUGU
Molecule: ribosomal RNA, 471 nt
Filed under: uncultured bacterium
Lineage: Bacteria
Description: bacterial SSU rRNA
Rfam family: Bacterial small subunit ribosomal RNA
Source: RNAcentral